GACGAACGCUGGCGGCGUGCUUAACACAUGCAAGUCGAACGGAAAGGCCCUGCUUUUGUGGGGUGCUCGAGUGGCGAACGGGUGAGUAACACGUGAGUAACCUGCCCUUGACUUUGGGAUAACUUCAGGAAACUGGGGCUAAUACCGGAUAGGAGCUCCUGCUGCAUGGUGGGGGUUGGAAAGUUUCGGCGGUUGGGGAUGGACUCGCGGCUUAUCAGCUUGUUGGUGGGGUAGUGGCUUACCAAGGCUUUGACGGGUAGCCGGCCUGAGAGGGUAACCGGCCACAUUGGGACUGCGAUACGGACCAGACUCCUACGGGAGGCAGCAGUGGGGAAUAUUGCACAAUGGGCGGAAGCCUGAUGCAGCAACGCCGCGUGCGGGAUGACGGCCUUCGGGUUAUAAACCGCUUUCGCCUGUGACGAAGCGUGAGUGACGGUAAUGGGUAAAGAAGCACCGGCUAACUACGUG
RNAcentral lists this ribosomal RNA (468 nucleotides) under uncultured bacterium. RNAcentral describes it as "partial 16S ribosomal RNA". It matches the Rfam family "Bacterial small subunit ribosomal RNA", at positions 28 to 507 of the family's 1533-position model. The record is from RNAcentral.